UGAGGUAUAUUUUGUAUGUAAUAAUGGUUCAGAUUGUCACCCGUACAGGGGAGAUGCUGCCGAAAUUUCUUCGGACAGGGACUCCUUUGGGGUGUGACAAUUAAGUGGUAUCAGAGCCUAGGUUGCGAAGCCUAUUUAUGUGUUUCAGAUUGUGCGAUUUGUUUUUCGUGUUCAGUAUUUUCGAGUUAAUCUGAUACCAAUUUAGUGGUAUCAGAGCAUGGUUCGAGUCAAAUGCGGUGUUUUGUGUUUUGAAAUUUCAAUCUUGUUUCGAUUUAUGAUUUUCGGCGUUCCGAUUGUUUUGUUUUCCCUUUGUAAGUUGAUCUCUCGAUGUGACUCUCGGGUUGUGGGACCAGGUAGCAGCAGGAAUCUCCAAGCUAUAGAAGGUAGCAAGUAGAUGAGUCGUGGAUGCUUGGAGAGAUGCCGGCUGCCAGUCCUCGGUCCUGCGUUAUAUCGGUUUUAUUUCUGCUUUACUUGUAUUUUUAGUAUACAGCGAUUUUAUUAUUGUAUGAAUUGGUUUGUGUUCUGGGAAAAGUCUGUGAUGAUAGGUAUUUUUAUUA
Long non-coding RNA from Zingiber officinale, 557 nucleotides. RefSeq lists it as uncharacterized. Lineage: Eukaryota; Viridiplantae; Streptophyta; Magnoliopsida; Zingiberales; Zingiberaceae. The record is from RefSeq and is a predicted model, not a curated record. The transcript is spliced from 2 exons.